UCCGGAUGAUGACGAGGAUGUGCCGCUGAGGCCUAGGAGGAGUAGAGAAGGCAUCAACUGGCAAGACGUCCCAAUCGGUGCCGGUGGUAGAACUAGUGAUCCAAUAGCCUGAAGAUGUGACUCGGGCUUCUGUUACUUCCGCUGCUCCAGUAUCAAGUGAACGCCCUACAUCGUCGACUGCACCAGUGUUUGCUUCAACUAUCCAGCCUCAUGUCUCGGAACUUCAAGCUGUUGCGACCGCACCGUCAACCCCAUUCUUUACCACUCAUCAUGUUCCAGAAAGGCAGGCCGACGCUGCCACAGAAGCCAUUCACCAAGCUGGCAUAAUGAUGGAGCGAGUGAAGGUGGUGCACGAAAAUAGUCAGGCUGUUUACGACGCCAGUGUGGUGCUUCGAGCCAAUGUCUAGAAAUCUUGUGCGCUUAUCUCCAAGUUUGCUGAAUUCGAGGAAAAGCAGAUACAACUCAACCUUGACUUGGAGCUGGCCAAUCAGAACUUGAAAAAGGCUAAAGACGAAGUAGCUGGUACGGAAGAGAAAAUGAGGUAGGCUCUGGCGAAGAAGGACCUCGAUCUUGCAGCUGCGCAAAAGGAGGCUCAGGAGAAGACUGCACUUGUUGACAAGAAGCUGGCUUCGGUCGGUGCGCUAGAGGAGGAAAUCACCAAGCUGAAGGCGUCUCUUGCUGAGUCCAACCGAGAAGCGACUCGUCUGAAGAAAGAUAAGGUGACUCUAGACGAGAAGCUGGAAGGCAUUUCUCAUAAGAGAAAUGACCUGGAAGCUUAUCUGAAAGCACUCGCCAAGAAGCUCUUCUUUAUGCUCGAAGAAUUCUGCCAAAACUUUGAAGAAGAAACUGGACGGAUCGAGACAGGCUUGGACCCCAUCCUUUCUCCUGUCGAUAAUGAGGCUACCAUGAACGUGCUCCGACUGGAAUCCCGUGUUGCCAGCGUUACGAGCUAUCUUGCUUGCCUGAAGGUGGCGGUGUCGCGCAUCGAUAUGACACUUUGGCCAAGGGAAACGCUUCAAAAUGACCUCGAGUCCUUGAUGAAUCGACUCAAUGAGGUCCCUGGUCGAGUGCAAGAAUGGAAGAAGUCUUCUGCCCGAUGCGGUGCUGAGGUGGCUCUGUCGCUGGUUCGGGUCCACUGCAAAGAAGCUUGAGAAGAGAAUCUGGCAGCGAUCAAAGUUUCCAACACCAAAAGGCAUGACUUCCAAUCCUUCAUGGAAACCUUCAUUGCUGCUGCCACUCGGAUCGCUGACGGAAUUGAUCUGGACGAGUUCGUCGAGCCUGCAAGCCCUCCUCCUGCGGAGUGAACAAACUUUAUAUCUCGUCUUAAAUUUGCCUCGGAAUGCCGAGUGAU
This is a long non-coding RNA of Triticum aestivum (bread wheat), 1351 nucleotides long. RefSeq lists it as uncharacterized. The record is from RefSeq and is a predicted model, not a curated record. The transcript has 4 exons. NCBI's taxonomy places the organism in Eukaryota, Viridiplantae, Streptophyta, Magnoliopsida, Poales, Poaceae.